GCAAAGCAGAUUCAAGGCUUGACUGCAACGGUCUCCUUUCCAGCUCAUCAGGUCGUCACAGCUAAUAGAUUCGAGUGUCUCCAAUCAUGUAUUAGGGCUUACUAAAGUUCUCAGCUUGUAUAAAUAGAUGAGAUGGGUGUAGCGUUGUUUCUAAGUUGAAAAAGUAAUAAAACGUAUUUCUUUGAGCUUUCUUCUUCUCUGUUCUUGUGUUUCACACUGAUGACUUCGCACCCAAACGAUUCUUCUUCCUUACUGUCUCAUC
RNAcentral lists this long non-coding RNA (262 nucleotides) under Brassica napus (rape). RNAcentral's name for it is "long non-coding RNA (BNAP_LNC009271)". Lineage: Eukaryota; Viridiplantae; Streptophyta; Magnoliopsida; Brassicales; Brassicaceae. The record is from RNAcentral.